AUAUGCUAGUAACCAUGCUAGAAUAACAGCCACAGUCUGCUAUGACCUGAAUUGAACCAGAAAAUGCAGAGUGAAGGCAGGGGGAACACGGCUCGGGGUCCUCUCUGGUCAGGCCUGGAGCCAGCGCUUGUAAACUGUGGACUAUCACCCACUGUUGAGAGGCCUCCUUUCGGCAGACUUCAGCACAGGGAUGUGGACUUGUUUCUAUGAAAGCCUGGAAUUCCUGUAGGGGUAGUGCCGUAAAACCGGAUCUUUACCUUCCUUAUUUAAAGGACUUUUUUGCGCAUAGACUGCCUGUCCUGGCCUCUCUCCCACUCUGGAAAGGAAGGGCUGAGAGAGAAAAACACACUGGAGAUGCUGUUUUGGAUGGAAACACACUCGCUGCCUGUUUCCCUGUGUGCCCAUGGUUCUUCUAGGUGCUGGGAAUAGACGAGUGAGAUGCAGACAAGGCCCCAGUCCUCACGGCACUUAUGUGCUAUGAGGAAACAAGGAAUGCACAUACCCCAUCGAGGAGGUGUCAGUCCAUCUUCAUGAGCCAAAAGGUGACAUGUGCCAAGGAAACAGGAAUAGAGCCUUGAGUGAAGCAUCAGACCAGUACAGCCGACCUGGUGGGCCUUGGUGCAAAGGGAAUGGAGCAAAGACUGGGAGGUAAUGAGGGGAUUCCCCAGGUGCUCCCCUGGGAGAAGAGAAUUCUGCCCACAGGCCCUGCCACCAGCGAGGGCCUUGCGUGCCGUGGAGUGGGAGGAACCACAAGGUGAGAAGGGUCUGAGGAUGUGGGCAUGGAGGCAUUGCAAGGACUUUGAAUUUACUCUGAGAGAUGAGUAGUCACUGGGAGGUUUGCAGCCCAGACAACCCACACGGUCAUUUCAGGAAGCUUGAGAGAGACUCAGUAUGUGGGGCAGCGGGCCCCCGUUUGUGGGGGCCACAGCGCAAACGCACCUGAGCCUGGAGCUGCUGGAACUCCUCUCUCUGCAGCCAGAGACCCAGGCUCACUCCUGGGCCUCCAUUCCGCCUGCUGGAUCAGCAAAAAUGAAAUGACUAAAUGGGCUGUUGGAUUUCAAAGAAUUACAGCCCCACUCCAGUCCUUGAGAGAGAAGCAGAGGCCCUGUUCCCCUGCGUCUGUGUGGCCUGCUGCAAAUAACGGGCUGGGUUUAUGGCGAGGGGACGGCUGGGCGGUUGCUUGUCUAGAAACGCACCAUGUGGUCCCUGCCUCCUCCUGAGCCUCAAUGGCCGCCUGGGACAUAGAUAGCCAGACAUCGCCAAUUUCCAGGUUCAAAAUUAUAUUCCCCCAACGUGAGUUAAUCUUCCCAUGAAAGGAAGAAAUACUUUUCACUUCAUGUUACUCUCUCUACUUUUUUUUUAAAGCAUCAGAUCUUUUAUCUCUAGUAUGACUAUGGAUGAAAUAUCACCAGCUUCAUAUUUCAAGAUAAUUUCCCUUCCAGCAAACAUUCCCCUAGGAAUAAAGACAUGUAGUGCCCACACUGCUGGGCUGCUUUUUCCGCCUCUGUCUAAACAAGGCCCUGUGUGUUCCAUCUGCUUGUCGGUUCCCAGUGUGCACUGGUCACUGCUGGGCUGAAAGGUCUCGCUUUUAGCUUCCUAGAUAGGCCAGCGAGGUUAAUAAGUUAAUAAAAUCCUAUUUAUCAGACUCCGGAGUCCAUUUCCUCUUCCCCGUGGCUCAUGGUUGUAAUUAUUCUUUAUGGACUCUCGGUGUUCCUUUAGAUCUGAUUUCCUCGCACUCCCCUCCCAUUUCCUGAAAGCCACGCCACAGAAGGAGAGAGUGGUCUUUUCUCUGGAAAGAUGUCUGUUACUCAUUUCCACCUUGGUGUCACGAAAGCUAGUCUGAAGGGAUACGUUUAAAUAUUUAAAAUUUUAAGAUGCAUGUGGAACAGCCUGGGUUGCUUCUCCUCCUGAGCAGAUUAGGUUAGAAAGACCUGGGGGCCCCUGGAUAACCCGGCGUAGCUGUCCAGGAGUGCAGAGAUUGGGAACCAGAUCCUGGGCUCUUGGCAGCUUCAGCUUUAUCUGGAAAAUUGGAGCCAUCAUUUCGACCAUGCUCACAUAUGAAGAUAAAUGACAAUAGCUUGCGUGAAAGUGUUUUUGAAAACAACAAUAACAACAAAACACAGAAAAAGAAGGCAUGAUCUUGGCUGCUUUUGAUGUGACUGUUUCCCUUAGCAGGGUGCCAGGGAUAUGGGGAAUUUAGGCCAAAUUAGCCGGAGCUUCUCUUAUUAGCGAAGAUUCGCUUAUCAGGUUCCCUGCUGUCAGCUUGGAAGACCCAGAGUCUGACCCCGAAUAAUGAAAUAGAGGACAAAUGAAGAUUCUGUCUCUGAGCAGGACUCGGGAUGGGGAGCAGUGGGCCCCAGCUGGAGGGGCGCAGGUCAGGCUGUAGGGCCCCUGGAGCUGGCUCCCUGGCUUGAGAGAAAGGGCCACAGUCACCUUCGCCUGCCCAGGCCCAGUCGUCUUUCUCGGGAGUGGCGGAAUGUAGCUUUCUACCCUACGGGCUCCUGCGCCUCACAGUGCUGGCUUUGGGUUUCUUCUGGGUCUCUGUGCUAACUUAGGCUCCGACGUUUCUAACUUUGGCCAAGAAGGUUUUGUAUACGAAUUUAUAGUGUACUGUAUAUGUGUGUGUGUGUGUGUGUGUGUACGCGUGCACACCAGCACAUGCACUUUUUAAAACAACUAGGAAUCUUCUCAGCAAACACUAUUCCUUGUCUACUCCCUUCUCUUGAAGAUGGUCACUGAGUGGCUACGGAGACACAAACUUGGAGGAAAGCACCCUGGCCUUGCCAACAGUGGAGAGUGCCCCAGGGCCAACCCCGAUGAAUCUCUGCCAGAUGAGGUGCAGAAGGGGAUGGGGCAAAGGAAGCAGAUACUCCCCCACGUGACUUCCCCACAGGAGCCACUUAACCAGAGGAAGACAGUGAUAUGGUUUGGCUGUGUCCCACCCAAAUCUCAUCUUGAACUGUAGUUCUCGUAAUCCCCAUGUGCUGUGGGAGCAACACGGUGGGAGGUAAUUGAAUCACGGGGGUGGUUACCUCCAUGCUGUUCUGGUGAUAGUGAGUGAGUUCUCACGAGAUCUGAUGGUUUUAUAAGGGACUUUUCCCCUUUUGCUCAGCACUUUUCCUUGCUGCCGCUAUGUGAAGAAGGAUGUGUUUGCUUCCCCUUCCUCCAUGAUUAUAAGUUUCCUGAGGCCUGCCCAGCCCUGCAGAACUAUGCAAACGCGUCUCCAUGAGGAAGAGCAAGGCUCCUGCAGGAUGGAGAUCAGAUGGAUCAGGGAUCCCACAGACAGAACCUUUUGCCUGAUAUGAGCACCCUUGGGAGAGACCUCUUCACACAAAUGUUCCUUGCAAGGAAAACACUCCUGCCUCACUUUCUUCAACCCAGCCAUGACCUUUCUUGGGACAGGGUCACACCAGGGUUACAGCAUCUGCCUCCCAGCCUCCCAGCUGGCCAGCCCUUCUGCAGUGGCUCAGCCGCAGACCCCUCCUGCACACCACAGCCAAAAACGAUUCUGCCAGGACUACAGCAUCCCGUGAAACUGACGCUUAAUGAUGCAGAACUCCACGUUUCCUGUCGUCAACUUGUCAUCAUUUUCCUUCCCAGAACCCCCAGCACCUCUGACACCGACCUGGAUCUCUACUCCAGAAACUCAAAACCCAUUUUUGCCACACCGUCACGCUAGCUCUCCUUUGCUCCCCUAAUCCAGGUCCCCGUUUCUCUGCACCUGUGCCCACCACCGGGAAUCUCUCCUGUUAAGUCGCCUCCUCCAUCCCGCCUUCUCCUGACCCCGUUGGCCCAUGCGUCUUUGAACUUUUGCAGAAUUUGCAUCUGUAACAAAUUACUUGCUAUUUAAUUAUGUUCUGUCAUAUUAUUCCUGUUGAAUUUGGCUGAGAACCAUGCGCUCCUUGAAAGCAGAAACUGUCUUUGUUGUUCUGUGUCCUGAUUCAACCCACUAGCCCCAGAGCACGUCUGCAGGAAAGGCCUUCUAAGCUCAGGUCAUCAAGCUCCUCCCAACUGCACUCUUUUACUUCUGUUUUUCCAAGUCGAUCUUUUUUUAAAAAAAAACAAAAAACUUAAAUGAAUUCAUUAUUAAAAAAACUUUUUAUCACCUCCAGAAAUGGAAAACUGUAUCAUUUGCCAUCAGUAGAAUUUGGCUGUAAAAGCAAAUUCCAUGUAAACAGAACAAUGCUGUUGGGUCCUACUUCCUCAGUCUGAGACCUGCUCUUUCUCCCGUGGUCAUGGAGACUCCAAGUUCUAAAGACAUACUAGGAACAGAGAGCAGCUUUUAUUGUAUCCAGAAGAAGAGAGACAGAAAAAAACAGAACCACCUGAAAAGUGAACAACUUCCUCACUCUGUGAUUGGCAGUUGUUGAAUCCAGUGAACAGGCACCACCAAAGAUCACCCUCAGCCCACACCUCAGGACCCUCUGGUACAGACUCCAAAAUCUACCACUUACUGUGUGAGUUCCAAGUAACAAACUCUGAGUAUUAUCUUAUUUAACUCACUCUGGGGUGAGUUCUCUAAGGAAGAACCCAUUAUUAUCCCGCUUUCCAGAUGAGGAAACUGAACAUAGCAGGAGAAAGAAGCUUGACCACAACCACACAGUAGUAAGUGACUAAGUCAGGACCCAGUGAGGAUAAACAGUCAUCCUAAGUUUUAUAAGACAGAAAAUUUAAUUACAGGGACUUCCUAGAUGGUAGAAGAGCCAAAACGUCAGACAAGGGACAUUGAGGCAACCCUGGUGUCCACAGCAUCAGGAAGUGGCUACCACCUCUCAGAUGCACAAGGAAGGAGGCAGUUAUCAGAGCCCAGGAAUCAGACUCACUGAAGGGAAGCUAGAACCAGGGUGGGUCUCUGUGGCAGGAGCUGGCUUGUAGAAGGAAAGAGCCUCCAGGCAAGACAGCCCAACAAACAGAGUCAAGAAGCCCACCCAGACUCCUGUACACACCCAUGUCCCUCCAGGCUUCCCAUUGGUCCAACCCAGUCAGAAGCCAGAGACACAGGAACCCGGGGCUCAUAGCCUGCAGAGGCCAGACCCCCCAUGAUACAGGGCAGAGCAGGGGUGGAUGGGAGGAGGGGGAUGCUUUGAGACCACCAGGCACAGGCUCACCCAGGUGGUCUUAUUCUGGGGUCUUUUCACUCACACAAACCAUGUUGUAGUUGACUAUUGGAUUUCAUGAGAUAAGAGUUCAUGUGUGUUCUUCCCCAUUCCAAGAAGAGGUGGGCUCUUCCUACUUCCUAGCUACCUG
This 5247-nucleotide long non-coding RNA is filed under the name Homo sapiens (human). RNAcentral's name for it is "non-protein coding lnc-COPS8-18:4". Lineage: Eukaryota; Metazoa; Chordata; Mammalia; Primates; Hominidae. The record is from RNAcentral.